UCUAGUGAGGUUCCAUUGAGGUUCCUGUCCACGGCUCUGUCAUUACAUUAAAAAUGAAAAUUACAAGUUAAAGCAUAAAUGAAAUUACAAAAAUCCUAUCUAUACAGCUUCUUUUGGACUCUUGACUUGAGUUUCAUCACCCUAUUCUUCAGGCGGGCUCCUGACUUGCUAUUUCUUUAACUUGUUGCUUGCCUUUCAAUUUCUUCACCUUGUUCUCCAGGCUGGUUCCUGACUUGCUAUUUCAUCAACUUGUUGCCAUGCUUU
This 264-nucleotide long non-coding RNA is filed under the name Capsicum annuum. RNAcentral describes it as "long non-coding RNA (CANN_LNC018676)". The record is from RNAcentral. Lineage: Eukaryota; Viridiplantae; Streptophyta; Magnoliopsida; Solanales; Solanaceae.